AAAAUAUGGUUAUCUACACAUUGGAUUAGUUCAAGUAGCUGUAAAACCUCUUACCAGAUUAAGGUAUUGUGACCUCCCUAUCUUAAUCUGCUUAAGAGAUAAAAGGAUGUUGAGAUUUCACGAAUCUGUCGUAGCAGUUCUUGAAUCCAAUAUUCAGAAUGGACCAGCAUAUUUCAAUUGUUUUUCUAGCUAUCCAGUUUGUCUCAGAGAUCCUCAUGUUACAACAUGUGUAGAUUUAGAUAUAAAAAUUCCAAAUGAAAUGUUCAUUGAUGGAAUUCCACCGGUUAGUAUCAUGUACAGAUUUUGUUAUAAAGUCACUGACAACCUUUUUGGCAUAAAGGCCGUAAGAGAUUACACAGUGAAUGAAACUGAAGUAACAGAAAUCAAUGCUGAAAACUCUUCAAGAAUCACCCGGAAGAUACUCAAACAUGAUGAAAUCACAUAUCCACAAGAAUGGCUGCAAGGAUGUUCUUCACAACCUGCACCUUGAAAAUGUUCAUUGCCAUUGGUCAAAAACUAUUCAAGGAUAUCAUUAUGGCUUAAGAAUCUCUGUAUUGCAUAACUUAAAAUUGUGAGAAUUUACCGGUGGCACAACAAGUUUGGUGAGGCAUCGUAUGUUAUAGUUAGUCUUCACUUGCGAGCAUAUGCAGAUGCUGCACUUGUGACUUUUCUUUUGGUACAUUGGAAAAUAACUGCACUUGUGACUUGUGAGAAAAGAACUUUCCAAAUCAAGGUUAGACUCUAUAGAAAUCUCUUGUUUGCAUAAUGUCGGAAGUAGUCACUAAUUGUCUUUGUUUCUUAUGAUUUCUCUCUUGUAAUGAAAAAUAGUUAAUGUUGUUUCUAGUUUUCUACUUGUUUUUGUAUCUUUAGUCUCUUAUGAUGCUCUCUUUUAAUUUGUAUUGAAUACUAUAAUUAUAUAAUAUUGGAAGGGAAAUUGAGUUGGAUUUGGGCCAUGGUAUUUGGUUUUCAUUCUGAUUUGCUUGUACUUGCAAAUUCGUUGCAUUUAUUCAUUCAUAGCAUUAUUAUUUCUGAAAACUAUCACUAGCAUGAUGGAGGUGGCUAAUUUGUCCGGCGGAAGGAGGAGGAUUGAGUACCAAGAGAAGGUGAGAAGAGGUGGUUAUUGUGUCGGGCGCUGAGCACAAGUCACAGUGGAGAUCAGGGCGCGACUAAGCGUUGAAGAACACAACAUGAUGGAGGUUGCGAUUCGACAAUGGAGGGUAGUCCAUUUACAAGAACACAAUGUAUAGAACAAUGUCAUUAUACAACACAAUUUAAAAAUCAAAGAGUUAGAAUUAACUAACCUGUAAAGAGUGAGUGUAGCGGGCGAGACAGUGGCAGGGGCGAGAAGGAGGCAGAUGGCGUAGUGGCGACAAGAGGAUGGAUACGUGACAGGAGGGGGCACGAUGGCGACGAUAGGAGAAGGGAGAACUAUGGGCGACGAAAUUGGAACCGAAGGAGGGUAUGCUCACGACGAUAGUGCAAGAGGCUCAACAAUAAUAAGAUAUGCUCAUAGGGAGGGUCAGGGCCUACUCGGGGACGAGAGAGUCACUUCCUAGUUAAUACAGCUUUCUUAAUUAAUUAUUUGCAUUGAGUACGGCCUCGAUCAGAGGGGGACGAAAUUAGAGAGGGGGAGGGCAUGACGCUUCAUCAACAACAACGACGAGUUUCAUUGAGGAGGAUGGUUUUGCGAAGACUAGCAGAUUUAGGGUUAUGGAGAGAGACAACUAGGAUUCAAGGAGUGGGGAAUGCAGAUGAAGACAAUCUUUGAAAUUUCAUUCAAUAUAGUGUGAGCUCAAAGACGCUAUUCAGCAUUGGUCAUGCUGAAAUUAAUCUUUAAAUUACAAAUUCUAUAUUUUAACAAUUUGUGUUGGCUAAACCAACGCUAAGUAAUCAAAAUUAGCGUCACAUUGAGAACAACACAAUAUAUAACGCUAAAUUAUCCCUUUCUUGUAGGCUGUAGCGAUAAAAAUCAAUCCAAAAACUUUUAACAACCAUAAGAUAUAUUAAUAAAUAAAAAAUGGACGCUAUUUGAACACAACCACAACUGAUUGAGUUUUAGGGCAGGGAUAGAUGACACCAAGUAGUUUAGGGGGGAAAAGGGAAAAUUAACUUUUUCACACUUGUCCACCUCCACUUUGAGAGGUGGACAGAUGCGAAAAGAAAGAGAAUUGAUGUGAUUCACCAAUCACACCAUACAUAAUACCAAGUAGCUUAAUGGGGGUGUAGAAAUUCAAUCCGGUUUUAUAAACCACAAACAACAUUUUAUAUAAAAGAAAAAAAAAAUCACAUGUAUCAUUCCUAUCAUAUCCCAAUACUUCACAUCUCUAGUUUGUCUCCCUUAUCUGAAAUGAGAUAAGUAAGGUAAUGUGAUAGAAAUAGAAGUGGGAAAUAAAAAGAAAAAAAUAAAUGAAAAUGAAAUGAAAAAGAAUAUGAAAUGUGAUAACUCAAUAAUAAAUACACUUUUGUGUGUAGUACCACUACAACAUUUUUGUCUUACGGCAACGCCUGGAAAGUGUAGCCGAAGCCAGAAAAACCGUUCUCUUUUCUUUCAGAAACACUUUCACAAGUGUGGUAGUCUAAGGCGUUGCCUAAUCCUAGCGCUACGCUUUCAGGGAUCAAAGAGAACACAUCCAGAAAAGCGUUGUCGUUUCAGUUAUUAGAGAACGUUUCUCGAGUAUUCUAAGGAAACACUUUUACACUUGUUUUCUGUGAUGUCAUAUAAAAAGCGUUCCCCACAAUCAUAAGGAAAACAUAAAUGAAAGCGUAGUCAUAGGUAUUUGAGAACGUUUUUACUUGUAGGUCAAAGAGAACAGUUUUGCAACCGUUGCCAUUUUGUAUACUAAAUCCAAACUAUACAGCCAAACUUCAAGGAUUCUGAGAUAUUUUAAAUGCUCCAUUUACCAAUAAUAAUUGUUAACCACAUUUGCAGCAAUCAAAUAUAGGAUAAAUCAUAGCCAAAUAGAAAGGAAUAAGUACAAUCGAAGACAGAUCACGAAGAAAAAUGAGAGAAAAAAGAAGGAAAAAUUAUGAGUCUUCAUCUCAAAAUCUAAAUUCAUGAUCUAAGAAAUGAGUUUGGAAUCAUAAAUAAGCUACAAAUAUCAUAUCAAAUAAGAAACACUGAGAAUCCAAAAUUUAAGGUACCUAAACAUUGUAUUUUAUAGCCUUUCUUGAACCCUUUGUUGAGAAGAGUCUUCACCGUUGUUUCCCAUUGAACGGGUGAAGUAACCUUCAAGCCGCUGUAAUGGCCUACAAUGAGCAAAAAUGCAAUCAAAAAUCUUAUACAACAUUGACACUUAUCAAUGCAACCAAAUAUGUUAUAUGUCUCCCCUCCAUCAUAUACACUAAAGAAGAAUGCUAUUAUGCUUUGCAUGUGGAGAAGAUUUAGUUAACCAUUACCUACCAGGAAAGAAACACAAGAGGAAAGGAAGGCUACCUGCAUCGUACAAUUAGGAUAAAUUAGAGCCAAGAGUACCAAUUCAAAUAAUGAUAUAACCAAAGAUCUCAUCUAAUUUUAGUCACAUAGCAUGAGAGCAAAAUGCAGCUUUCUCAUGUUUUAAGUGAAUUGAUAGCCACAUAAAGGGAGCUACUCAUGAAAGAUACAGGGAUACAGGGACAAAAGGAAAUUCCUCAAUAGCCUUUCAUUUCCUUCAUAUCAUGACAUAUCAUUGUGCUUAGCAAACCACAAACUUCAAUUACAAUAAACUCUAAAAAAAUUCUUUCCAUGCUAAUGCUCAGUUGAGAGAAAGAGUUUACUAGUAUGAGCUGAAUGAACAAAAUGUCUUAACUAAAUAUAUAAAACAGAAACUAGUGAUAAUUCUAUGUGCUCUAUGCCAUAUGCGAGACCAGAGAAGUAGAGAAACUAACCUGAGUGUUCAAUUUUCAGCAAAAUUCCUUGAAAAGGUUAGUCUGAGGAAAAAAAAAUAUAUUAGCCAUUAAAAGAAAGUAACAUAAAUUAGUAAAUAUUUUAAUAAGCCACAAUCACGUGAGCCCAAUCAUUCUAAUACCAAGAAACAAAGUCAAAAUACCUCUAGUUAAGACUAUUCCUCAGCCAAAACAUCAUCCAAGAAGACAAAUACCUCUAGUUAACAACAAUGCUGGUUAGCAACAUUUGAGACAGUGAACUUAAACAUUAUUAGUAUUAGGUAGAGAAGAUGCAAGUUUUAGGGAUUUGCAAAUACCAGUAGUGGUUCAUUUCUUGAUUUCUAGUUCUGUUUCUUCCUCCACAAUGUCUCUCCAAAGGCGUAGCAAACUAAAGAAAUGACUAGCUAUAAACACAGUGAAAGAACUACUGGCAUGCACCAACAUAUAGUAUUUAAGCAUAUAAUUAAUAAGAAAAAAAAGUAAAGAUAGAAAGAAAUAAAAUAGAUAAUGUAAUUCAAUAUCAAAGGGAUGAAAACGAACCUUGGACACCAAAUCCUGCACAGCCUCUGAAAGAAGCACAUCUUCAUUCAAAUGCCUGAUGCUUUUGGGAAAAUAAAAUAUUCAAAAUCUCAAAUUCUGCAUAGUCCAGUUUGACAGGGAAAAUGAAGUAUAGAAAACCCAUCCUUACAUUGGGACUAUCUGUGUGCUUGGCUACUGCCUUACUAUCUUCUGGGAGUUCCAUGAUUCUGUUUACCUGAAAGAGAAAAUAGCAUGCAUCAUUAGUAACCACUAAUGUAUAACAGGAAAAGAUGAAAGUAAAUAAUAAAAUAAGCAGGGCAAGGAGGGUAAGAAUUUAACACAUAUUAUGCAAAAUUAUUAACUAUUGAUCGAAGGAGGAAAAAACUUUAUAGAAAGAAAAUGUAGCCAAGGAAACAGAUUCCAUGAGACUACUCACAGUUCUUGUUCAUGCUAGCGUUUUUGAAAGCAUCCCAUUAGAUUCAGGUGGUUCCCACAUCCUGCAAACCCCAAGUUUAAAACAUGUUAUAUAUUUAUUUCUUUAAGUAGCCCAAUUUUGCAGUACAAGUUUCAACUGAAUAAUGUAUUGAACUGUGGAGAACAAUGUAAAAUUAAUAAAUACACUUUUGUGUGUAGUACACACGACACAAUGAAAGAACAACUUGAACAGAACAGAAACAUUUCAUUAAGCAAGACAUUCAUAACAGAACUACAUAGAAUUAGAACAAUAAAAGGUAGAAUCCGCAUUAAACUAAACAUAAUGAUCAUGAACAACAUUCAAAGCUAGUAUUAAACAUAAGACAUUAAUAGAAAUUGAUCUUCCAAAAGCAACAUGCAUAUAUAGCUGGUUGGGCCAUUGGCAGACAUGAUUUUUGUUUUUUCACUGCCCAUCUGCCAUGAGAGCAUAGCGAACACCAUCAGGGGGAGAAUCAAACUCUCUGAGUUGGAAAGGAGGGUAGUCAGGCUCACGAGCAAUAUCAGCGAGCUUAUCAGCAACACCGUUAGCAUUUCCAGGGAUCCAACUCAAUUUAGCUUUCCAGUCACCAGAAGAAAGAAGAUCCCUUAUCUGACAAAUCAGAGGAUUAAUAGUUCUGCUCCCAUUUUUCACAAGAUUAACAAUCCCUCUGUUAUCAGAUUCCACCACCACUUUCUUCACCCUUCUCCCCCGUGCCCACUGCAACCCUCUGAAAAUCGCCUCCUUCUCUGUUUCAUCAGGAUAGUGCCUUCGCGGCUCCAGCUUCACAGCGAACCCGCUUAUCCAUUUUCCAGACGAGUCUCUCAGAACACCGCCACAACCUGCUGAUAGAGGAUCAGGAAGAAGCGAACCGUCCACGUUCAGUUUCAACCAACCUCGCCUAGGCUUGGUCCACACCUCCUUGUUAGGCCUCUGCGCAAUUUGGGCUGUGACUGUGCCUGUGAGUGCCUGAGCCGCUUCAGGCUCAGGUUGUUUGAAGAGAGCGUAUAAACCACCGGCUACGGUGGCCGCUGCGGCGGCUGCACAUGCCACUUUCAGAAAUGUGGACUCCCAGCCUUCCUCCUCGCCUUCUCUCUUGUCAUUUCUUCCACUCAUUUUGUCUACACAAAUACACACAGCUGCAGGUAGUUUAGCUUGAUCAACCUCACCAUGCAGUGAUCAGUAAAUAUAGUGAACUUGUUUACUCACCCUCUUUAUGACAGUGCUACUUUUCAUGGUGCGUUGCUCUGCUCCUUCACGAUAAGAUCUAUAAGUUUUUUCCUUUUUCUUUAUUAUCACUUUAUAGAGUCUCUUGCGUACCUAGUAAGUCUCCUAUAUGUGAAAUCCAAGGCAUAUUUUUAUUUUAGAUAAUAUAAUAAGGUGCCACCAUAUAAUAAUUCUAAUAAUUGUCCUUUUCCCAUUGUUUUAGUCCCUGGCUCCACCCUCCACCGUCCUCUUUUUCUCCUUUUCUUUUGACAACCCCCGUCCUCUUUUUCUCCUUUAGUGUGGACUAACACUUUUGACUUUUGAGUUUUGAUUAUACAUUAAGAAUUGGCAUUUCCUCAGUACAAGCAAAAAAAAAUUCUGGGUCAAAUACAUGAGUAUGAGUGAUAUGUACCAGUAGGAAAAUUACACUUGGAUUAUUUAUUAAUAAUAUUGUGGACUUCUUGAAACUCUCGAUCAACCCUGUAGGUUUAUUGUAAUUAUAAACUAACCUCAGAACCUUUUAUUUUUCGAAUUCAGUCCUUAUGUUAGGUGAAAAAAUUGGAUGUUGAAUGAGAUUAACCUUUUCACCUUGUUUUAUAUAUGUUCAUCGGUUUCAACUUUUUUUUCACCUUCUUUUCAUUUUGCCUCUGGUUUUAGGGUUCUUCCCUUCUUCCCAAUCUCUAUCGCACAGAUUUUAGAAAUCGUUUCCAUUCUUGUUUAUAUCUUCUCGAUUCAGUGAUUUGCAAUGGAAUCUGAAAAUUGAUGGUUAUUGAUCUGUGUUUCAGUUUUCUGCAAAAAAAAAUUCCCGAAAAAUUUGUGGCUGAAAUAAAUUCAUGUGGUGUAUUCAUAUAAUAUCGUGAUUCGGUUUAUAAUGAAAAGAUGAUUUUUUUUAUCAUGUUUAUCACAAAUUGGCGUUGGCGUCAUGGUGUCACCAGCCCCAAUCCCAAAUCCGUUAUACUGGGACAAGCUAGCUAUUUUUGUUCUUGUGAGAGAAUUAUAUAUGGUAAAACAAAAAUUUCUAGAGGCUUUGGAGUAUUGAUGAAAACACUCAUCAUGCAGUUGCAGAACAUAUUCUUAUGCAGAAAAAGGGUGAAAAAAAGAUAUUUUGUGGUGGUAGCAACUGAAGGGUGGAAAUCAGAGAGAUUCUUCAUUUUGAAUUGGGGUAGACAAACUCAUAUAGCCCAGAAUAUAAAUUUGAUGGAAGUAAUAUUAACAGUGGUAAAGUUUAAAAUACAUAAUUAUUAAAAAGGAUGAGGACAUAUUUAGUAAGGUAAAAUUGAUCUAGGGUCAUAACGUAAAUAGCCUAAAAAAUGAUCUAGUCAACACUUAUCACAUUAAGUGUUCAUAUAUUAUUGGUACACCUCACUCCUGUAGCCUACACUCGUUUGAAUUUAUGGGCACCCAAGUAUGCACCUUAAAAAUUAAUUAAUAAUUAGUGCAUUUGGACAAAUAAAGUUUUAUUCACACUCAAAAUAUAUAAGUGACAGAUAUGCAAAGUGAUGCAAUAUGAAUAGAAGUUGAUCACAAUAUUUGAUCCUAUCUUUUAUUUUUUAUUGUUGAAAUUCACCCGUGUAUGUCCAUUGAUUGAAGAAUCAGUCUCUUGAAACUAAAAUAUUUCUUAGACAUGGCAAAUCUUACAUUGAAUCAACAUGCCAACAAUUCUGAAGAAAAUGAUUCAAACUUAGAACAAAAGCUUCAAAAUUGGUCAAUUCCAAAGAUUAGAACAAACCAAGUUUAUAAAACUUCAAUCUUUGAAUUCAACCCUGAUUAUGAGAUCAAAACAGUGGAAAAAUCUUUUGCAGUCCAAGGUCCAUACCAGAGGAUUUCCAUUUUGGAUUCACGCAUAGUGAAUCAACAUGUGAGAAAAUAUCGUGAUCUACACAUUGGAUUAGUUCAACUAGCUGUAAAACCUCUUACCAGAUUAAGGUAUUGUGACCUCCCUAUCUUAAUCUGCUUAAGAGAUAAAAGGAUGUUGAGAUUUCACGAAUCUGUGUUAGCAGUUCUUGAAUGCAAUAUUCAGAAUGGACCAGCAUAUUUCAAUUGUUUUCCUAGCUAUCCAGUUUGUCUCAGAGACCCUCAUGUUACAACAUGUGUAGAUUUAGAUAUAAAAAUUCCAAAUGAAAUGUUCAUUGAUGGAAUUCCACCGGUUAGUAUCAUGUACAGAUUUUGUUAUAAAGUCACUGACAACCUCUCUGGCAUAAAGGCCGUAAGAGAUUACACAGUGAAUGAAACUGAAGUAACAGAAAUCAAUGCUGAAAACUCUUCAAGAAUCACCCGGAAGAUACUCAAACAUGAUGAAAUCACAUAUCCACAAGAAUGGCUGCAAGGAUGUUCUUCACAACCUGCACCUUGAAAAUGUUCAUUGCCAUUGGUCAAAAACUAUUCAAGGAUAUCAUUAUGGCUUAAGAAUCUCUGUAUUGCAUAACUUUAAAUUGUGAGAAUUCACUGGUGGCACAACAAGUUUGGUGAGGCAUCGUAUGUUAUAGUUAGUCUUCACUUGCGAGCAUAUGCAGAUGCUGCACUUGUGACUUUUCUUUUGGUACAUCGGAAAAUAACUGCACUUGUGACUUGUGAGAAAAGAACUUUCCAAAUCAAAGUUAGACUCUGUAGAAAUCUCUUGUUUGCAUAAUGUCGGAAGUUGUCACUAAUUGUCUUUGUUUCUUAUGAUUUCUCUCUUGUAAUGAAAAAUAGUUAAUGUUGUUUCUAGUUUUCUACUUGUUUUUGUAUCUUUAGUCUCUUAUGAUGCUCUCUUUUAAUUUGUAUUGAAUACUAUAAUUAUAUAAUAUUGGAAGGGAAUUGAGUUGGAUUUGGGCCAUGGUAUUUGGUUUUCAUUCUGAUUUGCUUGUACUUGCAAAUUCGUUGCAUUUAUUCAUUCAUAGCAUUAUUAUUUCUGAAAACUAUCACUAGCAUGAUGGAGGUGGCUAAUUUGUCCGGCGGAAGGAGGAGGAUUGAGUACCAAGAGAAGGUGAGAAGAGGUGGCUAUUGUGUAGGGCGCUGAGCACAAGUCACAGUGGAGACCAGGGCGCAACUAAGCGUUGAAGAACACAACAUGAUUGAGGUUGCGAUUCGACAAUGGAAGGUGGUCCAUUUACAAGAACACAAUGUAUAGAACAAUGUCAUUAUACAACACAAUUUAAAAAUCAAAGAGGUAGAAUUAACUAACCUGUAAAGAGUGAGUGUAGCGGGCGAGACAGUGGCAAGGGCGAGAAGGAGGCAGAGGGCGUAGUGGCGACAAGAGGAUGGAUCCGUGACAGGAGGGGGCACGAUGGCGACGAUAGGAGAAGGGAGAACUAUGGGUGACGAAAUUGGAAUCGAAGGAGGGUAUGCUCACGACGAUAGUGCAAGAGGCACAACAAUAAUAAGAUAUGCUCAUAAGGAGGGAUAGGGCCUGCUCGGGGACGAGAGAGUCACUUCCUAGUUAAUACCGUUUUCUUAAUUAAUUAUUUGCAUUGAGUACGGCCUCGAUCAGAGGGGGACGAAAUUAGAGAGGGGGAGGGCAUGACGCUUCAUCAACAACAACGACGAGUUUCAUUGAGGAGGAUGGUUUUGCGGAGACUAGCAGAUUUAGGGUUAUGGAGAGAGACAACUAGGAUUCAAGGAGUGGGGAAUGCAGAUGAAGACAAUCUUUGAAAUUUCAUUCAAUAGACGCUAUUCAGCGUUGGUCAUGCUGAAAUUAAUCUUUAAAUUACAAAUUCUAUAUUUUAACAAUUUGUGUCGGCUAAACCAACGCUAAGUAAUCAAAAUUAGCGUCACAUUGAGAACAACACAAUAUAUAACGCUAAAUUAUCCCUUUCUUGUAGGCUGUAGCGAUAAAAAUCAAUCCAAAAACUUUUAAUUAACAACCAUAAGAUAUAUUAAUAAAUAAAAAAUGGACACUAUUUGAACACAACCACAACUGAUCGAGUUUUAGGGCAGGGAUAGAUGACACCAAGUAGUUUAGGGGGAAAAGGGAAAUUUAACUUUUUCACACUUGUCCACCUCCACUUUGAGAGGUGGACAGGUGGGAAAAGAAAGAGAAUUGAUGUGAUUCACCAAUCACACCAUACAUAAUACCAAGUAGCUUAAUGGGGGUGUAGAAAUUCAAUCCGGUUUUAUAAACCACAAACAACAUUUUAUAUAAAAGAAAACAAAAUUCACAUGUCUCAUUCCUAUCAUAUCCCAAUACUUCACAUCUCUAGUUUGUCUCCCUUAUCUGAAAUGAGAUAAGUAAGGUAAUGUGAUAGAAAUAGAAGUGAGAAAUAAAAAGAAAAAGAUAAAUGAAAAUGAAAUGAAAAAGAAUAUGAAAUGUGAUAACUCAAUAAUAAAUACACUAUCUAGAUGGAUCUAGGCUUUUGACCAUAAGCUAAGAAAUCAUUUUUUUAAACAUGGAGAAUGGUUGUUGGCAUAAUGUGAUUUCGAAACUGCCUAUGACUAUCCUUUGUGGGGAGAUAUUGGCGAAUAAAAGAGUGUUAAAUAUGUUUUUGAUCCCUCUAAUUUUAUCAUUGGUUGGAAUAGUUUUUUAACCAACUUAUCUUAAAUAUUAUUGGUUUCCCUAAAAAUAAGAUGAUUUAACUAAAAAAAAAAAUUCUAGAGUUAUUUAUACAAGUCCAAAAGAGUUUACUUUAGAACAAAUAAUAGGAGGCACCAAUUUUUAAAUCAAUUACCCACUAUUAAUAAUCAUUGAUUCAAUAUCUACGAUUAUAAUCAUUAUAUCAACAACAAUUUAUAAUAGAUCACAAAAAAUGUCCACUAUAUAACUUUCCUCACUUUGUUUUAGAGUUUUUCUCUAUGUUUUCCCCCUCUUUGCAUUAAUAAAGUAUGUGAAAGUAGGUCCACCCUAGACCCUAGUCUUUAUCUUUGGAGUAAUAUAUCAUUUUUUUUUUUUAUGUAACCAAAAAAAAAUAUAUCAUUUUUAUAAACUUUUUUUUACACAACUCCAAAACGGACUUGAAAGGCAUUGAAGUCCGCAAAAUUCAAUAAAUAUAUUCAUAGAGGAAGACAAACCUGUAUAUUAUUAACCAGCCCCUCUUGCUUUCUCAAGCUUUACAUCAAAUCAAAGUCUCUUGUAUUCCUUUAGUAAGUCCUUUCAACCUAUCUCCAUUAGUAUUACUCUAUCAUAAGCAUUUUUCCUCUCAAUAUUUCAUCCUAUCUUUUAUUUUUAUUGUUGAAAAUUCACCCCUGCAUGUUCACUAUUUGAAGAAUUUAUCUCUUGAAACCAAAAUAUUUCUAAGAUAUGUCAUAUCUUACAUUGAACCAACAUGCCAACAAUUCUGAAGAAAUUGAUUCAAACUUAGAACAAAAGCUUCAAAAUUGGUCAAUUCCAAAGAUCAAAACAAACCAAGUUUAUAAAAUUCCAAUCUUUGAAUUCAACCCUGAUUAUGAGAUCAAAACAGUGGAAAAAUCUUUUGCAGUCCAAGGUCCAUACCAGACUAUUUCCAUUUUGGACUCACGCAUAGUGAAUCAACAUGUGAGAAAAUAUGGUUCUCUGCACUUUGGAUUAGUUCAAGUAGCUGUGAAACCUCUUACCAGAUUAAGGUGCGACCUCCCUAUCUUAAUCUGCUUAAGAGACAAACGACAUUUGAAAUUUUGGAACACUGUCAGAGCAGUUCUUGAAUCUGAUAUUCAGAAUGGACCAGCAUAUUUCAAUUGUUAUCCUAGCUAUCCAGUUUCUCUUAGAGAUCCUCAUGUUACAAAAUGUUUAGACUUGGAUGUAAAAAUUCCAAAUGAAAUGUUCGUUGAUGGAGCUCCACCACCGGUUAGUAUCAUGUACAGAUUUUGUUAUAAAGUCACUGACAACCUCCGUGGUGUAAAGGCCAAAAGAAGUAACACAGUGAAUGAAACUGAUGU
RNAcentral lists this long non-coding RNA (11863 nucleotides) under Lotus japonicus. Its description in RNAcentral is "long non-coding RNA (LJAP_LNC002089)". The record is from RNAcentral. Lineage: Eukaryota; Viridiplantae; Streptophyta; Magnoliopsida; Fabales; Fabaceae.